UAGGGAAUAUUGGACAAUGGGGGAAACCCUGAUCCAGCGAUGCCGCGUGAGUUAUGAAGGCCUUCGUGUCGUAAAGCUCUUUCACCUGUGAGGAUAAUGACGGUAGCAGGUAAAGAAGCACCGGCAAACUCUGUGCCAGCAGCCGCGGUAAGACAGAGGGUGCUAGCGUUGUUCGGAAUGACUGGGCGUAAAGGGUGCGUAGGUGGUCUGACAAGUCAGGUGUGAAAGCCCCGGGCUUAACCUGGGAGGGGCACUUAAUACUGUCAAACUGGAGGGCGAGAGAGGAAAGCGGAAUUCCUAGUGUAGAGGUGAAAUUCGUAGAUAUUAGGAGGAACACCAGAGGCGAAGGCGGCUUUCUGGCUCGCAACUGACACUGAGGCACGAAAGCGUGAGGAGCAAAC
RNAcentral lists this ribosomal RNA (401 nucleotides) under uncultured bacterium. RNAcentral's name for it is "bacterial SSU rRNA". It matches the Rfam family "Bacterial small subunit ribosomal RNA", at positions 355 to 773 of the family's 1533-position model. The record is from RNAcentral.